GUCCUAGCCGUAAACGGUGCAUAUUUGCUGUAAAAGGAAUCGACCCCUUUUGUGGCGAAGCUAACGCGAUAAAUAUGCCGCCUGGGAAGUACGGUCGCAAGAUUAAAACUCAAAGAAAUUGACGGGGGCCUGCACAAGCGGUGGAGUAUGUGGCUUAAUUCGAUGCAACGCGAAGAACCUUACCUGGCCUUGACAUGUAUCUAGUAGAAGGGUGAAAGCCUGACGAGAUAGCAAUAUCAGGAUACACAGGUGCUGCAUGGCUGUCGU
This 267-nucleotide ribosomal RNA is filed under the name uncultured bacterium. RNAcentral's name for it is "partial 16S ribosomal RNA". It matches the Rfam family "Bacterial small subunit ribosomal RNA", at positions 793 to 1055 of the family's 1533-position model. The record is from RNAcentral.